This 478-nucleotide ribosomal RNA is filed under the name uncultured bacterium. RNAcentral's name for it is "partial 16S ribosomal RNA". It matches the Rfam family "Bacterial small subunit ribosomal RNA", at positions 28 to 523 of the family's 1533-position model. The record is from RNAcentral.
GACGAACGCUGGCGGCGUGCUUAACACAUGCAAGUCGAACGGUAAGGCCCUUCGGGGUACACGAGUGGCGAACGGGUGAGUAACACGUGGGUGAUCUGCCCUGCACUUCGGGAUAAGCCUGGGAAACUGGGUCUAAUACCGGAUAGGACCCUGGGAUGCAUGUCCUGGGGUGGAAAGCUUUUGCGGUGUGGGGUGGGCCCGCGGCCUAGCAGCUUGUUGGGGUGGUGAUGGCCUAGCAAGGCGACGACGGGUAGCCGGCCUGGGAGGGUGACGGGCCACCCUGGGCAUGAGAUACGGCCCAGACUCCUACGGGAGGCAGCAGUGGGGAAUAUUGCACAGUGGGCGCAAGCCUGAUGCAGCGACGCCGCGUGAGGGAUGACGGCCUUCGGGUUGUAAACCUCUUUCAGCACCGACGAAGCGCAAGUGACGGUAGGUGCAGAAGAAGGACCGGCCAACUACGUGCCAGCCGCCGCGGUAA